This 86-nucleotide transfer RNA is filed under the name Camelus bactrianus (Bactrian camel). It matches the Rfam family "tRNA". From Rfam's summary of the family: Transfer RNA (tRNA) molecules are approximately 80 nucleotides in length. Their secondary structure includes four short double-helical elements and three loops (D, anti-codon, and T loops). The record is from Rfam by way of RNAcentral. Lineage: Eukaryota; Metazoa; Chordata; Mammalia; Artiodactyla; Camelidae. RNAcentral also lists the same sequence under 2 other names.
GGAAGUAUAGCUCAAGUGGUAGAGUGAAUGCUUAGCAUGCAUAAGACGCAUGCAUGAGGUCCUGGGUUCAAUCCCUAGUACCUCUU